Oncorhynchus keta (chum salmon) is the source of this 181-nucleotide long non-coding RNA. RefSeq lists it as uncharacterized. NCBI's taxonomy places the organism in Eukaryota, Metazoa, Chordata, Actinopteri, Salmoniformes, Salmonidae. The record is from RefSeq and is a predicted model, not a curated record. The transcript is spliced from 3 exons.
GAGAGGUCGGUCGAGAGAGAGAGGUCGGUCGAGAGAGAGAGGUAGGUCGAGAGAGAGAGGUAGGUCGAGAGAGAGAGGUAGGUCGAGAGAGAGAGGUAGGUCGAGAGAGAGAGGUAGGUCGAGAGAGAGAGGUAGGUCGAGAGAGAGAGAGAGAGGUCGGGCGAGAGAGAGAGAGAGAGAG